Molecule: transfer RNA, 75 nt
Filed under: Azoarcus sp.
Lineage: Bacteria; Pseudomonadati; Pseudomonadota; Betaproteobacteria; Rhodocyclales; Zoogloeaceae
Description: tRNA-Arg
Rfam family: tRNA
About the family: Transfer RNA (tRNA) molecules are approximately 80 nucleotides in length. Their secondary structure includes four short double-helical elements and three loops (D, anti-codon, and T loops).
Source: RNAcentral
CUCCUCGUAGUUCAAUGGAUAGAAUGAGCGCCUCCUAAGCGCUAGAUACAGGUUCGAUUCCUGUCGAGGGGACCA